This is a long non-coding RNA of Scatophagus argus, 1089 nucleotides long. RefSeq lists it as uncharacterized. NCBI's taxonomy places the organism in Eukaryota, Metazoa, Chordata, Actinopteri, Scatophagidae. The transcript has 2 exons. The record is from RefSeq and is a predicted model, not a curated record.
UACACAUCAUGUCAAGGCUCUGAGCUUUUUGUGCUGCUGAGUUUUUCGGCUGGUUUCAUGGGAAAAUGCGUCAAGUCGAAGCUGAAGAAUUGCUGAACAAACAGAGAGUGGAUGGAGCUUUCGUCAUCAGAGACAGUGAGAGCACUCCAGGGGACUUCACCCUCUCUGUCAAUGCCACAUCGCAAAACUAAUUCCAUAGAGGCCUGAAUUUGGAUAUAUUAGGUAUAAUGGUUUGGACGUGCCCGUGAAAAACAAUUCAAUUGAUGCCAAUACCGUACUCCCUAUACUGUUAUCACUUAUACUGAUUAAACUGUUAUUGUAUUCUGAAAAUAACAUGAUUAAUUGUGUUCUAAAUGGAUAAGGGGAUAACACUUGUUAUCCCUGUUCUGUAAGACAAAAAAGCAGAAUUAGACAAACGCAAUGAGCAAAGUGAAGAAUACAUUUUCAGCUUAUCUUCAAAAGAAAAUAACAUCUACGCCUCAGAAUGAUAAAGGAGAGAAUGCUGUCCAUUCGUGGAUGAGAUCCUGAAUGCUUUUUUUCUGUCUCUCACCCAAAGCUGAGUGAGAGACAGACAAAAAAGAAAAUAAUGAAAAGAUUUUUUUUUUCAAAACAGUCUUUUAAUCUGUUUUGGUUCUGCAGCUUCAGCCCUACAGACAUCACUUUCUAAAAUCCAAUCUAAUUUCCAAGUCCAGUUUGAAGAAAAGAGGCUUUUUAAAUGCAUAAAAAUCAGGCCUGCCCCACUUUAACAAAGCCAUCAAGUCAGCCUGCUGCUAGUUAAGCUUUCAGUCAAAAAUGUGAUUAAGUUUGGGAGUUUGAGGGAGCACUGCAUCUCUACCCAGUCCAAACAGAAACAUUAGAUAUAUAACUGUCAUCAGUUACUUUAAUAGAUUGGACAUACAAUUUUUUGGUUUAUUUGUUCAUCUUGGGUUUUUCCAUGGUAUUUUUUCUAUGGUGCAUUGGGGUGGAACAUUUAAUUGGCAGCCACUUCCUGCGGGAUAUAAUUUUGUGACCACUCAUGUAAGGAAAUCUUCAUUGUAACGUUGUUAAAAGAGUUUAUUGUGAAGUGAAGUAAAGGCAUUAUUGUAAGCU